GCAGUCGACGAGACCUUCGGGUCUAGUGGCGCACGGGUGCGUAACGCGUGGGAAUCUGCCCUUGGGUUCGGAAUAACGUCGGGAAACUGACGCUAAUACCGGAUGAUGACGUAAGUCCAAAGAUUUAUCGCCCAGGGAUGAGCCCGCGUAGGAUUAGCUAGUUGGUGAGGUAAAGGCUCACCAAGGCGACGAUCCUUAGCUGGUCUGAGAGGAUGAUCAGCCACACUGGGACUGAGACACGGCCCAGACUCCUACGGGAGGCAGCAGUAGGGAAUAUUGGACAAUGGGGGCAACCCUGAUCCAGCAAUGCCGCGUGAGUGAUGAAGGCCUUAGGGUUGUAAAGCUCUUUUACCCGGGAUGAUAAUGACAGUACCGGGAGAAUAAGCCCCGGCUAACUCCGUGCCAGCAGCCGCGGUAAUACGGAGGGGGCUAGCGUUGUUCGGAAUUACUGGGCGUAAAGCGCACGUAGGCGGCGAUUUAAGUCAGAGGUGAAAGCCCGGGGCUCAACCCCGGAACUGCCUUUGAUACUGGAUUGCUUG
Molecule: ribosomal RNA, 539 nt
Filed under: uncultured bacterium
Lineage: Bacteria
Description: bacterial SSU rRNA
Rfam family: Bacterial small subunit ribosomal RNA
Source: RNAcentral